RNAcentral lists this small RNA (183 nucleotides) under Phascolarctos cinereus (koala). RNAcentral's name for it is "TUC338 (ENSPCIG00000006552.2)". Lineage: Eukaryota; Metazoa; Chordata; Mammalia; Diprotodontia; Phascolarctidae. The record is from RNAcentral.
UUGAUAGUCCUGGGAACUAAAAUCCUCUAUUUAACUGAAAGAACAGUGGAAAAGGCAGUGCAAGCUUCAAUGUAAGCUUCCCCACAGUGCUCCACCAGUCUAGUGCCUUAAUCCUUUUCUGCACUCACACCCGAGGGGUGAGAGGACAGGUUAGCAGUUUUUAGCAUUGAAUCUCUAGCCAUU